Molecule: long non-coding RNA, 1090 nt
Organism: Grus americana (Whooping crane)
Lineage: Eukaryota; Metazoa; Chordata; Aves; Gruiformes; Gruidae
Exons: 4
Source: RefSeq, a predicted model, not a curated record
UCCUGGGUGGAUGGAAGGUCAGCAUACUGGCAGUUUUCCUCACUACUUUCCAUUCACCUCUUAAAGUCUGGAGUUGCAGACAGCCUAUUUUGACUUCUGAGUAAAUGCAAGGAAUUUAUCUUGAAUCUACCAUUGCUGUUCAUGGUAGUUAUUUAAGUUGCAGUCUAUCACCACCUGCUUAAAACAUACAAAAGAUGAGAAGGAAGCAGGUUUUUCAGAAUUCUUAAGACUGUAGUGAUCACCUAUUAAGUAAAUUGUGCAUCCUUCCGAGGAAUUUUGCUGCAAUGAAUGUAAUCAAAAGGUUGUAUCAGGUGACAAACAUCAAUAUUUUUUCAGAACUUUGGACCCCAUGGGAAAGGUGCAAGGAAGUUAGGAAAGGAGACUGGAGAAGAAGGUAGAACAAGAAAUGGGGAAAAAAGGAACCUGCUAGUGAAAAACAUAAUGCCAUUGAUCAGUACUUGCUUAGUGGAGGUGAAAAGGUGAGAAACAACAUCCUGAUGUAUGAUGUUUAUACAGUUUCUCUCAAAUCUCAAAAUAUUGUUCUGCUUAUGAUGGAUAUGUUAUGAAACAACUGUUAGAAUGCUGAGAAGCUAUUUUGUCCUACUUUGUAUUCCUUUUAUUUUGUUAUGUCACUUAUUUCUAUCUUGUUUUCACUCCAUGGUUUCCGUUAUGAUCUGGUAUCAGGAAGGUAUCAAAUAGGUCACAGUGUCUUCAUACCACGUGCACCAUCUCUGUGCCAAUUUCAUCUUCUUGAAACCAGCACAUCCAUCCUCUUUCAAUACACUACUGCCUUGACCUACGUUGGCCACUAUCUGGUGCUUCCCAGCUACACUGAAGAAGAGAAAAUCAACUAUAUUAUCCUGUGGAACUUAGAAACUGGAAUGGUUUAAAAAUUAUUGAAAAAUGAGCCAGAUGUGUACUACUUGACAAUUACAGAUGAUGCCAGUAGAAUUGGUUUUGAAAUCAUGAAGGAAAGAUAAAAGUUUGCAAUCGAUUUGAACACCAGCAUACCGCUAUUCCAGGUUAUGAAGGCGUACAUCAUACUGUGAUCAGCAAACUCCAGCUGCUGGAGGAAAGGGCAAAAGCAGUC